AUGCAAAAUUAGAAGGAAAGAGUUCUGAUUUCUAGGUUAGGAAAUUAUCUAUAAUCUAAAGGGCGUGGACUGUUCACUGGAGUCGCACUGUUCAUUCGAGUCCGAAUUAAAUGACGCUUUUGCCCUUAAUUUUUUCUUAAGUUACAUCCCUCCCAUUCAGUCUGUUAUAAAUACCCGCCGACGAUUUUGCCCUUCCUUUCUAAUCAAAUUACACCCAUUUGCCCUGCCCUGCUGAUCUGCUGAGAGAUAGAAAGAAGAUUGCGAGAGAGAAAUAUAACAGAGUUCUUCUGGGUCUUCUGCGAGAGAGAGAGAGAGAGAGAGAGUGAAGGCUGAUCCGAGAGAGAUGAAGAACAUAAGACGGGAAGAGGAAGAACUAUUCGAUACACCAAGUUGUGGAGAAUAGGCCUGAUGCAAAGUCCUAUGUAGGUAUGGAGUGAGUAGAUAUCCUACAUUGAAAUUUUUUUCCAAAGGGCAACAAGGAUGGUGAAGUGUAUGGUGGAGGCUGAGAUUUGGAAUAUUUUGUAAAUUUCAUCAGUGAGAAAUGUAGGACUAGCACAGAUGCGAAAGGGCAACUUACUUCCAUAGUUAGUACCAUUUUAAACCAAUAAACGUAACUCAUUAGUUUCCUUAUCGAUUAUCUUCUUUUAUGUAGGCUGAAAUAGUCUCAAGUUUGGAGUUUGUUAUGUAAAACCAUAACAUAUUCGGUUAAUAUUUCUUAGAUUAUGAUUACAACUAUAUUGCAUAUAAAAUUAAUGAAAGAAAAAACACAAACCCGCAGCAUCGCGCGGGCGAGCUGUCUAGUGUUCUACUAAUUCAGAACUAGUCACUAGUUAAUUUGUGGGAGCUUUAGACAUACCUUUGCAUCUGCGCUGAAUCCUUUCAUGAACUUUAUUUGUACAUAUCCGUUAACUGCAAUGAGAGGAAGCAGUGCGAGGAUAAUAAAUGCCAGCUGCCAACAUGCAAUAUAAGCAAUGACCAAACCUGCAACUGCAGCUGCCAUGUUUUGAACCAUCUGAGCUAGAGCGUCUCCGACUAGGGCCCUCACCGACGCUGCAUCUGCUGAGAGCCUUGCACCAAUUGCACCACUUGAGUUCUCAGGCUCAUCAAACCACCCAACCUCCAUGUGAACCACUCUCUCAAAACACAAUAAUCUGAUACGCUGAAUUAACUUGCUGCCAGCUACUGAAAAGAAAUAUCCUUGUGCUGGGAUCGCCAAGAAUGAUAUCAGACCAAGGAUCAUAAAAAUUAUUGCCCAAAAUGCUGCAUCUUUCUUCUGUUGAUGAGGUGGUUCAUAGAAAGUCUUUAUAACCCUGGAAAUGAGCACACCGAAUAUUGGAAGUAUAACACCAUUGAUGAUUGCAGCUAUAGUUCCAAUAAUAAGAACUGGAAUCUCAGGUUUGUUCAGGGCAGCAAUGCGGCGGAGUGAGACCUUUGGAGGUUGCUCUGGUGCUAGUUCUGUUUCUUCAUAUGCAGCAUCUUGGACACCAAUGCCUCCAAGUCCAGUGGGUAAACCAAAUGCCACUGAAUAUGAGUGACGGCUGCUAUUUCCUACGGAGGAAUUUCUACUUAAGGAUCGUGCAAACGAAAGUCUUUGACUCGAUGUUCUUUGACUUGACUGUCUAAGAGAUGCCAGAGUUAUUUCAGGAGAAGAAGGCUAUAGCUAGGACAUGGGAUCAAAUAGUUCUUUGGGAUCCGGAAGCAAUCCAAAUAUCUGGACUUGAUCAAGAAGUACAAUAAUUAAUGCACGGAGAGUUUGUAAGUAUGUUUCAGUUGGAAAAGCAAUGCAUGAUAGUACAAGAAUAGAAUAUCUGAGUUGAUGUGCAGAAAUCAUGAUUAUCCCCAUCUCUAAUUAAUUUGUGAGAAACAUAUGGCUCUCUGCAAUGUAAGCUUUAUUAAGUAGAAUACCUUUUUCAACCAUCUUUC
This is a long non-coding RNA of Rosa chinensis, 1923 nucleotides long. RefSeq lists it as uncharacterized. The transcript is spliced from 3 exons. NCBI's taxonomy places the organism in Eukaryota, Viridiplantae, Streptophyta, Magnoliopsida, Rosales, Rosaceae. The record is from RefSeq and is a predicted model, not a curated record.